GAUGAACGCUAGCGGCAGGCUUAACACAUGCAAGUCGAGGGGUAGAGGAAGCUUGCUUCCUUGAGACCGGCGCACGGGUGCGUAACGCGUAUACAAUCUACCUUUUACAGAGGGAUAGCCCCAGAGAAAUUUGGAUUAAUACCUCAUAGUAUUUUUGAAUCGCAUGAUUUGAUUAUUAAAGUUCCAACGGUAAAAGAUGAGUAUGCGUCCCAUUAGCUAGAUGGUAAGGUAACGGCUUACCAUGGCAAUGAUGGGUAGGGGUCCUGAGGGGGAGAUCCCCCCACACUGGUACUGAGACACGGCCCAGACUCCUACGGGAGGCAGCAGUGGGGAAUUUUGGACAAUGGGCGAAAGCCUGAUCCAGCCAUGCCNCGUGUGUGAAGAAGGUCUUCGGAUUGUAAAGCACUUUAAGUUGGGAGGAAGGGCAG
Molecule: ribosomal RNA, 428 nt
Filed under: uncultured bacterium
Lineage: Bacteria
Description: bacterial SSU rRNA
Rfam family: Bacterial small subunit ribosomal RNA
Source: RNAcentral